Molecule: ribosomal RNA, 373 nt
Filed under: uncultured organism
Description: partial 16S ribosomal RNA
Rfam family: Bacterial small subunit ribosomal RNA
Source: RNAcentral
GGAGGGUGCAAGCAUUAAUCGGAUUUAUUGGGCGUAAAGGGCGCGUAGGCGGCCCUGUAAGUCAGGGGUGAAAUUCCGCAGCUCAACUGCGGAGCAGCACUUGAAACUACAGAGCUAGAGUAUAGGCGGAGAAAAUGGAAUUUCACAUGUAGCGGUGAAAUGCGUAGAUAUGUGAAGGAACACCGGUGGCGAAGGCGGUUUUCUAGCCUAUAACUGACGCUGAGGCGCGAAAGCAAGGGGGAGCAAACAGGAUUAGAUACCCUGGUAGUCCUUGCCGUAAACGAUGUAUACUUGAUGUAGUUGGAUUCAACCCUAGCUGUGUCGGAGCUCACGCGAUAAGUAUACCCGCCUGGGGAGUACGCUCGCAAGGGUG